Molecule: ribosomal RNA, 381 nt
Filed under: uncultured cyanobacterium
Lineage: Bacteria; Bacillati; Cyanobacteriota
Description: bacterial SSU rRNA
Rfam family: Bacterial small subunit ribosomal RNA
Source: RNAcentral
CGAAAGCCUGACGGAGCAAUACCGCGUGAGGGAAGACUGCCUAUGGGUUGUAAACCUCUUUUUUCAGGGAGGAAUAAAAUGACGUGUACCUGAAGAAUAAGCAUCGGCUAACUCCGUGCCAGCAGCCGCGGUAAGACGGAGGAUGCAAGUGUUAUCCGGAAUCACUGGGCGUAAAGCGUUUGUAGGUGGUUUAGUAAGUCUAUUGUUAAAUCUUGAAGCUCAACUUCAAACAUGUAAUAGAAACUACUAAACUUGAGGAUAGUAGGGGUAAAGGGAAUUUCCAGUGGAGCGGUGAAGUGCGUAGAGAUUGGAAGGACCACCGAUGGCGAAGGCACUUUACUGGGCUAUUACUGACACUAAGAGACGAAAGCUAGGGUAGCG